This is a long non-coding RNA of Seriola aureovittata, 1260 nucleotides long. RefSeq lists it as uncharacterized. NCBI's taxonomy places the organism in Eukaryota, Metazoa, Chordata, Actinopteri, Carangiformes, Carangidae. The record is from RefSeq and is a predicted model, not a curated record. The transcript is spliced from 3 exons.
CAGCAGCUUCACUCGUAAAAGGAAGACAAUAGCAGAAAAAGCACAAAAAAUGAAUUUGGACAGUGCAAAAGGCUGAACAAGAGACAACACUGACAUCACUUUUCAACCAUGGCGACAACUGAGGGAACAGAGGAGCUCAAAAGCAAUGCGAUUGUGGCUGUAUUUCUCUUAGACAGAUUGAUGAGACCACUGGCCCUGCUCCACCUCCACCAUUUCAUCAGAGUUUCUCAUCCCACCGCUGUUUGGCUAUUCAACAUGGACAUCUGAAACCCUCUGCUCCCGCUCAUGCACAAAUGUCUGACUUCGUGGGACUCGGUGGCAGCCAGAUAAAAGCAAAGCAAAGUGAUUCACCUGUGGCAAGAGGAGCCCUUUGCUUUUAGGGGUUGCUCACCCACACACGAUGUGGGUUCAAAGCAUCCUUACCUGAGAGAGGGAGGCAGAAGCUCAGACAGAGACAGAGAGCGAGACAGUGGAGCGAGAUGAGGGAAAGAGAGGAGAUGAACAAGGGGUGACAGAGGGGGGAAAGAGAAAGAGAAGAUGGGGAAGCAGUGACACAGGAAAUGCAGAGAGAAUGGGGCAGGGAAAGUGAUGAUGAUGGUGGCGGUGGUGGUGGCGGGGGGUGUCGGUAGCCGCUCAGCCGGCUAUGAGAGCAACAGCAGCGUGGGCACUGAAGUAGAAUAUUUUUCCAACAUCAUGGUAGGAGAGCCUCUGAGUGCCCCUGUUAUUAGGUGUGUUUGUGUUGCCGAGCCUUCUCUUUUCUGAAGGAAACAAGUGGCUUAUGGUUCAGUACUAGCCGUCACCAUGGAUGUCAGAAAAACAAAAUGCUGAUAAGCAUGUGUCCAUAUCUUUCAGUCUUAUAUGAAAGCAAUGUGAAAUACAAACGUGUGACUCAUACUGCCCUGUAUACCAACAAUCAAUUAAUGUCUUUAUCUCUCAAUUAGAGAGAGAGAGAGAAAAAACUAAACUAUUACUAACUACAUUUUUUAUUGCUCCUUAUAUGGUGAUAUUUAGACUACACAUUUUUGCAAAAUGCUCUUCAUUAUAGUUGAAUGAUGAUAAAAGCAUGAGCUGUGCUUGUGGAAGUGAACUGAUUUUAUUUGCAGAGCUUAGGACAGAAGACAAAAUUAUUUGUUUGCAAUGUAAUGUCAUGUGUAAGAAGUUAUGCUCUUGUCUUACAAAUGUGCAAUUCCAUUUUUGGUGUCUCAUAAGUUGAUAUGGGCUGGGCACUUAUUUAUGGAUAAUACAAUAAAAAACAUAACU